GCCAUGUAGCUUGAAUGUUUUCCUGAAAUGAAAAUGAAAGUGAAAAUGGAAUUGGGGAUAGACUGCCGGAACUGGGACGAAGACGCUUACAGAAACACCAUAUUGCAGGACCGCCAAACCCAAUGCCGAACCGUCUUCCGAACCUCCUUCCCACCCUCUCUCUCCCCUAACCCCCCCGACCUCAUCGUCGCCGCCUCCAGCGACGGCUCCCUCGCCUCUUACUCCAUCUCCUCUCUCCUCUCCUCUCCCCCAUUGGGUUUAGGUUUUGGUAAUGGUAGGGUUCAGAAUUUGUUGCAGGCUGAACCUCAGUGCUUUCUUCAAGGGCAUGAUGGACCUGCUUAUGAUGUCAAAUUUUAUGGCAACGGCGAAGAUUCUUUGUUGUUGAGCUGUGGUGAUGAUGGCCGGAUUCGAGGGUGGAGGUGGAAGGAAAUCUCAAAACCAGAGGAGCAUAUUCCUUGGCAAGGAGGCCAUUUGAAGCCAGUACUUGACUUGGUGAAUCCUCAACAUAAAGGGCCGUGGAGUGCUCUUUCUCCGAUCCCAGAGAACAAUUCCAUUGCUGUUGAUAAUCAGGGUGGAUCCAUUUUUGCGGCUGCUGGUGAUUCUUGUGCGUAUUGCUGGGAUGUGGAGAAAAGUGAAAUCAAAAUGGUUUUCAAGGGGCACUCAGACUACUUGCAUUGUAUUGUUGCCCGUAAUUCUGGCAAUCAGAUUAUAACUGGAUCAGAAGAUGGGACAGCACGAAUAUGGGAUUGCAAAAGUGGAAAGUGUAUUCAAGUAAUUGACCCAGGGAAGGAUAAGAAGUUGAAAGAGUUCUUUCCAUUUGUCAGUUGCAUUGCUCUUGAUGCAAGUGAGAGCUGGUUGGCUUGUGGCAAUGGCCGGACUUUGUCUGUUUGGAAUCUUCCUGCUCGUGAGUGCAUUUCGAGGAUAUCCACUCAUGCUUCUAUCCAAGAUAUUUCAUUUGAUGAUAAUCAAAUAUUGGCAGUUGGAGCAGAACCAUUACUCACUCGAUAUGAUAUGAAUGGGGCUAUUCUUUCACGGAUACAAUGCGCACCUCAAUCAGCAUUUUCCAUUUCUGUUCAUCCAGCGGGUGUAUGUUCUGCUUGGACUUUCUGCUUUUAUGCUGAUCAAUUGACCCGAUUGUUAUUAUUUCUUUUGUAGUGUUGGCUUUUUCACAGAUAACCCUUGCUGGUCGCUGGUCAAUUGUCACUAGUUACAGCAGUGGCGGGUUACGGAGGUCUAGUGGAUGUUGUUUCACAAUUUGGAAGCCACUUAUGCACAUUUCGGUGUAGAUGCCAGUAAAUUGAGUUGAUUGAAAUGUGCUAAUGAAUAGGAAAAGUGUGGUAAGUGUAGCAUUAGACUUAGUUGAUGACUACAUUUUUAGAAUGUAUUCGUGGUAAGAGAACGUUUGUGUGAUUGAUAAAAACACAACUUGGAAAGCUAAAGAUGCCCUACCUACCAAAUGGUUAUUAUUUGGACAAUGGAUUAGAGUAUCUUUAAUGGUGUUUGUUAAAAUAGCAAUCAUUGCUAUAAUUUGGCAAUGAAUAAUGUUAUUUUGUCAAAUCACAGAAAUGGCGCUCUAAUGGUCACAUGUUAUUUUGGCAAAUUUCAAUCAACUUUCCUUCCAAGUU
Camellia sinensis is the source of this 1625-nucleotide non-coding RNA. Lineage: Eukaryota; Viridiplantae; Streptophyta; Magnoliopsida; Ericales; Theaceae. The record is from RefSeq and is a predicted model, not a curated record.